This 1072-nucleotide long non-coding RNA is filed under the name Macaca mulatta (Rhesus monkey). RNAcentral describes it as "lncRNA (ENSMMUG00000059300.1)". Lineage: Eukaryota; Metazoa; Chordata; Mammalia; Primates; Cercopithecidae. The record is from RNAcentral.
AAGUCAUUGCCACGCUGAGCACAUUUCUGUCUCACCAUGUAACUCAAGAAAUAAUGCAAUUGCAUCUAGUGGACUUCACCCAAACUGUGCCCUGGGUUGCCCUGGGGAGCUGGUUCUGCUGCUUCAGGCUAACUCACUUAUUGUGGCAGGAGGCUGCUGAUAUGGUCAGUUCCCAGGGAUCAGCCGCUGGAGGUGGAGGUUAGGGUGGGGGGGCGGUGGGAGGGUGUUGGAAAGGGCACCUGUCAAACGUGGAUUCAUAAAUGGGCUGCAGAGAGACUAGAAAGACUCUGAAGCUGAAUGCACGAGUUUGUACGUGCAUUUUUACUGGGGAUGAGGAUCAGUUUUUUUGUCUGAUUCUCAAAGAAGUCAGAGACCCUCAAAAUGGUUACUCGUUUUGGGUGGUAGGUAAAACAAGAAAAUGAAAUGUUUCUCUUUUCAUUUUUGCUCCCCAGUGAGUUUGAGUUUUAUGCAAUUUCUUGUAUAAGAGGAGAGCCUAAGUCCAUGGAAGCUGGGAUUGAACAUCCUGAAUAUGCAGUUCCUUGGAGAGCCACCAAGAAAAGACCUAAGCAGGAGACAUGAUGUCACCUUCGGGGAGGAGGCUCUUCAGCUGUCUGGCAUGGGAGGAGGAGGAAUGAGGAGGAUCACUGGCCUUGAACCCCCAAGGAGAGGCCAGAGCACCUUUCUGGGACUCAGCCCAGGGAUUAGGAGUCAGACAAGGAAGAAGAGGACAUGAUAGGAAACUGGGAGGUGAGUAUCAGAAAUGAGGUUGAGUCAGUGAGAAGAUGAGGCCACACAGGGAUGCCCGGUGCUCAGGGCCCAGGAGAACCUACUCAGAGUCAUCGUGCAUUGUGCAGAAAGACGCCUGGCUGAGGGAGUAAGUGGGGGUCAAAAUCCCACCUAACUCCUACUCUCCAAACAAGUUUUGCUUCUGCUGGCAUCAUCCUGCACAGGCCAGGCAGGCAAUAGGUGAGGCAUACUGCGGGUCACUAGGUCCUAGGGGAUCAGAGCAGGUCAUCCUCCAGGAUAGGCAGAAGUGGAUCAAGGAAGCCCUGCAGCUCAAAGAGUCCAGCAG